Molecule: long non-coding RNA, 710 nt
Filed under: Homo sapiens (human)
Lineage: Eukaryota; Metazoa; Chordata; Mammalia; Primates; Hominidae
Description: non-protein coding lnc-PTPN2-7:1
Source: RNAcentral
AUGCCCAAAUCCAAGCAUGACAAGGAAGUCCCUAACCAAAACUGCCAAGAAAGGCCUGGAAUUGAAACAACACCUGAUAGAAGAGCUUCGGAAACGUGUGGACACUGAUAAGUACCUUUCCAUCUCUCUGUGGCCAACACGUGGAACAGCAAGCUGAAGGACAUCCGGAAUGCCUGGAAGCACAGCCGGAUGUUCUUUGGCAAAAACAAGGUGAUGAUGGUGGCCUUGGGUCGGAGCCCAUUGGGUGAGUGCAAAGACAACCUGCACCAGGUCAGCAAAAGGUUGAGGGGUGAAGCGGAUCUCCUGUUCACCAACCACUGGAAGGAGGAGGUGAAUGAGUGGUUCACAGAAUACACGGAAAUGGACUUCAGCUGAGCUGUAACAAAGCAGCUUUCACCGUGAGCCUGGACCCAGGGCCCCUGGAGCAGUUCCCCACCCCAUGAAGCCACAGCUGAGGCAGCCGGGCCUGCCCACCACCUUUGAGAGAGGUGUGGUGACCCUGCUGUCCGACAAUGAGGUGUGCAAGGAGGGCCACCUGCUGGCCCCGGAGCAGGCUGGUGUUCUGAUGCUUUCUGGGUAUGAGAUGGCUGAAUUUAAGGUGACCAUCAAAUACAUGUGGGAUGUACAGUCAGGAAGGGUCCAGCAGAUGGGAGACGACCUGCCAGAGAGCUCAUCCAACUCAGCAGAAGAAUCAAGACUCAGACGAUGAU